UAGCCUGCCUUAGCCGGGCAGCACCACUCUCGGGACUUUUAACAGCCUGGUUGGCAGUGCUGACCAGAGCCGCUGCAACCCAGUGCCUUAUAUGCUGCGACCCAGUACUGGGUCGUGACCCGCAGUUUGAAAACCACCUUCAUAGAUGUCCCCUAAGCAUAUCUCUGAAGAUAAAUUGACAAUCAGGCUUGCUACUCUACUCAGACUCCUCAUAUGAUGCAUAGACAUGCCCUGUGUGAGUGAGCCUCCGAGUCCAGGUCCAUGGGCUUCUGGUAAUGAGGCUCACACUAGUGCUCUAAAAAUAGCUGUGUAGACACUGAAGAUUUGGCUCGGAAGCUGGGGAAACUUUGAGAGCCUGAGCUCCAGCGUCAGCCACUACGUCAAAGCACCAUCUGUACAGCUGUUUCAAGUGAGCAGAGGUUGUGUUCUUAAGCUAGUGUUCUUAAGUGUGGAUCUGGGCAGGGAGGCUCGCUCACAGACACAGUGUAGAUACACCCAGAGAGAUCCCAUUAAAUCCUCUGAGGAGAAUUAUCCCAGACACCCAAGUUAAGUGGUUUCCUUGGUUAAUUUUGUGAUGUAUGAUCCUUCUGGUUGCUGAUGCCAGAUAAAAUCAAAAGGGUCUACCUGGUGCAAUGAGUCUAAGCAAAAUUAAGCUGUCUCAGUAGUGAUCGCCUAUGUUCAAGAGUAACCUUCCUUGCCCUCUUGGUGUAUGAAUCCUGAAUCCCUGCUGUCCUCAAAAAUAAUAGUAUAAAUGAAGAACUGAUUCAUUGUCCAGUGAAGAAAAGAAUUGCACACAUUGGCAUUACUUUAUCACAAUAAGUUUCCUUCAAAGAGAAACCAUAAUAAUUCAAAACCUACAGGAUACUGUAGCAAAAAACAGUGAGACAGUGUGGCCUAAUGAUAGGGCUCUGAUUUGAGUCUCUCAAGACUUGAAUUAUAUUCUCGGCUCUGCCACUGAUAUGUGUGACCAUGGACAAAUCACUUCCCUUCUCUUUUCAGAGUAACAGCCGUGUUAGUCUGUAUUCGCAAAAAGAAAAGGAGUACUUGUGGCACCUUAGAGACUCACGAAAGCUUAUGCUCAGAUAAAUUGGUUAGUCUCUAAGGUGCCACAAGUACUCCUUUUCUUUUCCCCCUCUCUUUGUCUUAUUUAGCAGGUAAGCUUAUUAGGGCAGGGGCUGUUUCUUAAUAUGUUUGUACAGCAACUAGCAUGAUGGGGCCCUAACCUUAGCUGGAGUUUCUAAGUGUAAAAGAACAAAUCUGUUUCAGUUUUGUAGUUUGCCAUAGUAGUUCUAGAGCUGCAUGAACUUAUUGUAUGAAAUGUAGGGUGAAAUGAGGCAUAUUCAACUGUGGAUAGCUCAGUUAAUAAAAUAAUUAAGUGAACCCCCAGUGAGGAUUUGACGAAAGGUGGAUCAGUCUACAUUCUGGUGUGUUCUUGAGACUGUGCCCAGCAGGGAAAGCCACAACUGAGACAUUAGUAAUGACCUGAAUGGACCCAAUCCUCUGCUGAGUUUUUUCUUUUGCAGCAUCUUUCAUCCAGCCACGUUCAUUUGCUAACUUACAGUUCCAUAGCAUGGUGUGGACUCUGGUGCAAUGAAUCAACUCUAGAUACCAAGAGAGAAUCCUUCCCCUAAUGAAGAUGCUGGUUUUGCCUUAAAUAUAUGGAUUGCUCUUAGCAUCCCUGAUAUGGUGAUGAAGUAUGUGGGGGUGAUAAGUUUUGCUUUUGUGACUAGGGAUGCACAUGUGCGGCUAGUGAUCCCAAUUAGGUGAAGGGUUACUUCCUUCUGAUCCCUCUGGCCUGAUCCUUAUGGUACCAGGUGAGGCCCAAACUGUAAUAGGUAAUCUUAGAUUGUUGUGCUUGCCACAUGUGGCCCACCUGGUUCUUCCUGCCAUUCUCUGCCCCAGACUUACUGACUGGAACCUUGUCUUGUGGUACAUGUACAGUUCUGUCUUUAGGCUGCUCUGCUGCCCUUUUUUAUGCCCUCUGUGGUGAGCUGGUAAAUCAUAUGUUUUUGUUGUGGUAGCAGCAGAGUGUGUGCGUGUAUGUGUGGUGGGUGUGUUAUGUGAAUUAUGCUUUGUGUACAUGACUUGGCUUCUCAGAUAUAUGAAAUGUUGUAUACAUUUCUUCAGUGUUUGCUGAGACCUUUAUAUUGUAAAGUUACUUCGAAUAACAUGGAGAGAUUAAUAAUCCAAGAUGAAAUGAUGGUUAAAGUGGUGUUUAGGUGAAAUAAUACAUGUCUUAAUGACCAAUGUAAAAAUAGAAAAUUUCAUCUUGCCUAGAGAAAGUCAUCUGACCUGGUUACAAAACAGUGGCUUGAUGUCCUAAGUCAAUCCACUCUCUUAUUUGAGUAUUUUGAUGCUGUUAUUAGGUAUCUAGUUAAAGAGCUGUUUGUUGAUGAAUUUAAGGAGUUUUUUUAAAUGUUUUUUAAAUGCUGUUUAAAUCAUUAUCCUUCGUUGGUCUAGCUUUUGUUGGUAUUGUCAUUUCUUAUAUGAUAUGAUGUCACAAAGAAGUUAUAUCCUUUAAUUCUGCUGUGUGUGCUGCACUGGGGAGCUCAAAGUUGAACCGUUGUUGAAAUAUGGUAGGAGGAAGUUAAGAUACUUGCUUUGUCUCUCAGGGUUAAAGUUUUGAAGGAUUAAAUUCCUGUAUGUCUUUAAGAUGACAAGGUAUACCUCUUAGGUUUUCUGGUACUCCUUUCUGUUUUAAAUUACCUUUUUUCAAUAGAGGGAGAGCAAAGCCAAACCAAAUUGCACUUACUGCAUUUACUUCUGACAUGACCUCUUAAUAUUGUACUUGUUCUCAAUCUUUAUUAGUUGGGGAGCUUUGAAUCCAUUCUUUUCCAUAACAUGUUUUUGGAGAGUCCAAUGGACAGUCCUGUUUGUGGACCCUGUUUUUUGAGUGUGUGUGUGUAGUCUUCUAUCUUCUGCUGAGCAUGGGAGCAGAACUUCGGAUUUUGAUUAGAAGAAUUUUUUUUUACUUUUUCUGUCCACAACUUUGUUAAUUAUGCAAAAUUCUAGUAUGUCUUCUGGUGGUAAUCUCAAAUUCAUUUUUAAUUUCUGUUUUAGAUACACGUUAAGUUUCUCUGCCUUCAUUUCUAGCUCUAAAUAGAUGCCUCUUUUUAAAAUUGAAGCCACAGGGUAGGUAACUGUUCUGUUAGUUUUAUUUGAAUGUUCUGUUUUUCUGUCAUGAUCUCCUUGGGAUCCCAGUGCACUGACAGGCACUCUUUAGUAAAAGGAUUUUUCUGGAUACUUUUUCAUUUUGCACGUUUCUUGAUUUUUUUGAUGGGCUGUUGUGCAGUAUUAAUGUCAUGAGUACUCCAGUGUUGCUAUAUAGUGGUCAUCUUCACAUCUUUUUCAAGAUUUUGCUUAGUGUUUAAGAAAAGAUCAUUAACUAUGAGAGUUACCUCUAAAUAUGCUUCUGGUAAUCUUUCCAUAAAAACUCAGUGAGGCACAGGUGAAAUGAAUGAGUUCCUGACUCUUGUCUAGUCAAUGAUGUUCUGCAGCUGGAUAGUAAUUCUUUUUUUUCUUUUCUUUUUUUUUUUACAUUUGUAGCUUUCUCCUCCAUAGUAAUGUAGAAAUAAAUGAAGUUUCAUUCUUUCUUAAGAUAGUUACAGCACCACUUGGCUGGAUUUCUGCAAGUGCAGGUGGGGCCUUGGGUAUCAUCAUUUUCAUAGACUCAGUAUGUGCUGAAGGAAUUCUCCAGAGGAAUACAAGAUAUUGUGUUUUACAUUAAGUUCUGUAAAGUAAAGAGCAUCUUGGGUUAUAAAUGGUAAGUAAGGGUCCUUAAACCCUUUUUGUUUUAUUACCAUAAGGAAUCAGAGGUGGUUUUUUUUUUUCCCUUUUUUUUAAAGGUGAAGAUGAACUGCUCUGAAGGUUAUUCUAGCCAUUGCAGGAAUUGUUCCUGAUUUAAGUUUUAGUGAUUUCACAGUAGUGUGUGAAGCAAGUUUAUUAAUUUUCUGAUUUCAGUGAUUUGAGAAUAAAGGUUUGUGGCAUUUCUCUUUCUUCUGGAUACGUGACUACAGAUCUUACAUCUAAUAGGAAAUUUAUAUCCAGGAACUUGAGAAUAUUUACUAGGGUUAAUGUUGGGCUUUUCCUGUAUUUCCUGCCAUGAUCUCUUCUUGGAACUGUAGUGCUAGGAGCAUACAUUUUCUUAAUGAUUCUGCUACUUUUUUUUGGAAGUUCUCCAUUUUUUUCUGAAUUAUUUUCUUUUUUACAUGGAACUCAAGGAAAUAUUUAGUUUCUUCAUUGUUGAAUGGUAAACUAUUUACGUUUUCCAAAACUGUUUCUUUUUUUACUCUGCUUAUCCUAGAUGGGUUUGGCAUGGAGGCAUCAGUAGGUUUCUGUGUCUGUAAGGGGAAAGCACAAUUAUGAUCCAUACUUUUCUUUCUAAUAUGCCAUUCAGGCUGAUCUCUAACUUGUUCUGGAAUAAAUGAUAUGUCUCUUGCAGUUCCCAUUGCUGGAAUCACUGGAAUUAGGAGUGAUUGGAAGAAGGAGCCUUUGGAAUCUUUUUUCUAAGGACUCUGUCCGAGUAGGAGGAAUUUUCCAGUGAGCCAAGUGAUGUUUCUGUUUUAUAUUAAAAUCUGUAUGCUAAAGGAAAUCUGUAAAUGUCAUCAAUGCUAUUCUUUCCAUUGUGCUUCUUUUAUAUCAGUGAGAAUUGGUUUGGAAGUGGUUUCUUUUUGAUAAUGGAAUCCUCUCUGUAAACUUGUUUAACUGUUACAGAACAUGUUCCAAUUUUGAUUGCAAGUGAAUUCUUAACAACAUGAAAAUACAUUUCAUCCUUUUUCCCCCCAAAGCUAAAUUUUGGAAAAUAUUUUUUCCUAAUCUUUGAGGAUUUGAAUUGGGAUUCAUUUGCUGGUAGAAAUCCAUUUUCUAUGUGAUGCAUUGUUUUCCUUACAAGAUACUCUUCAGGAAAUGCUAAAGUGGCUAACAAUAGUUUCUUUUUUUUCUUGAUUCUGCACAGGAAAAUCACUGUAUUCUGGGGGAUACAGUUGUAUAAUUCAGAAUUAAAAUGAGAACUUUCACUGUUAGAUGUUUGAUGUUGAUUUUUCCACUACUGAAAUUUUCUUUGCUAAUGUUGUUCGUCCUGAACAUGUGCAUGAGGUUGGAUUUCUGAAACCACUAAACCAGUUCAGGCUUUUUAAAUGAGACUAGAUUUAAGAUGAUGAUGUUCCACUGGAUGAUGAAUAGCUUACUUGAAAUCUCUUGCAAAUAAAAAAAGCAAGCAUUUUUCUGUGUUCUGCGGAUUAAAAAAAAAAAUCAUCCAGGUACUAAUUUUCUUGAUGUGUAGCAAGAAUUCAUGUGUGCCUUCCAAAGUUCUUCAAAACUGCUGAAAAGUAAAAAGCCAAACAAAAAAGACAACCCUCGCCCCUGAUUUUACAAAUCCGUAUAGAUUAAUCCUCUAACCUUUUUAUUACUUGUUUAGUCUUUAAAAAUGCCACAUAUGUAUUUUUAAAUUUCUUAAGGUGAUUAAACUGAGUUUUUUGUCCCAUUAAUUGAAAAGGAAAAUUAUAAGAAACAAGUACAGUGUUUACAAGAAGCAAGAUACUAAUUUACCAUCCUACUACAAAACUUCAUGCAUGUGUGUGUAUAUAUAAUUAUUAAUUCCUGGAAUAGCUGUAUUUUUCUUUUCAGAGUGUAUUUCACUUCAUAAACUGAGUGCCUGCACUGAACCUCAGAACAUACUACUUUUCAUUCUAAAAAAUGUAUUUCUUAUUUUACAGAGACAAUCACCUGUGUCUGGGGUGGUCUAAUAGAUAACCAAGAACAGUCCUUCCUCUCAGACCAAAUACAGAGGGUUGUUAGACUGUUGUUACUAUGUCACCAAAGCCCUUACCUGUAUAGUCCUGUAAGGUCAUAUUAUUCAACAUCUGUAAGUCGCUGUUGGGAGAGUUCAUGAGACAUGAGCUGAAAUGCCAGCAGAUGCAGAUGACAUCAAGUUCUAGAGUUCCUGUACAUCAGUGGUUCUCAAGCAGGGAUACACAGAGAUUUUCCAGGAGUGGAUUAGGCAGAAGAGUCUGGAGCAACUGUCAGCACUGCUGUUCUUGGAGAGAGACUGUCACUCUGCAAUGUUGAGCCUUUACUCACCUGAAAUUUAUAAUACAGCUUCAGUCUGCCUGAAGAGUCUGGCAAAAGCUUUUGCUCAUGAUUAUACUUAAAAAAAAUCUAAACGGCUUUCCUCUCUGAUUUUCCAGGAAGCACAUGACCUAUCUGUGUUGUUCUGAGAGGACAUGGUUUCUGGCACAUGAGAGGCAUAAAACAAUUUAAAGUAACAUCUCCACCUAGUGGCUAACCAAUAAAGCACAAUUGUACUAAUUUCUGGCCUGAUUUAAAUUCAAACUAGUUCUUAGAAAAAGAUGAUGUAAACUCCAAGUGCAUAUCUAAAAUACGUGCCAGAUUAGGGGCUCCCUUUUGUAAACCUGGAUUAUCAAAACUACAUAACAGUAACGUCUACCCCUUUAAGAUAAAAAGUCCUUAUUUGAGUAGGUUAGCUAGUAUUUGAGCACAAUCUAAAGAAAUAAAUGGAAAAAUGGGAAUAAUGUUUUUCCCAUCAAUACAAUACAUGCUUAAUAACAAAGAAAUACAACAGCUAGUACUAAUAUAGUAAUUUUCUUUCAUGAUAUCUACCUUAUUAAAGUUUAAGGCCCAUCAGUCCCAUUUUUCACAUCGGGAAAAUAUGGGUGCACAGAGGGUAACACUAGGUCCAGAAGGUGACUGAGACUCACCAGUGCAAUCCCCUAAAAUGGUGGGCAUCCUGGGGUGUAGUGGAAUCCACAGACCCAAGUUAUGUACCAAAGAACAGGAUUCAUACAACCCAGCACACUGAGCAGGAAGCUGCCUAAAUUAGGCAACAGAAAAUGUCAGAAAGGGGUGUGGUCUAAGUCCUGGCCCUUAAAGGGAGUUGGGCGCCUAACUGUGGGCUGCAGGUAGAUGCUUCCCUCCACUCUGCAUUCACAGCCCUGGAGUUAGGCCAGACCUGGUUUAGGUACCUUUCUCUCUCGCACACACACAGGGAGGAAAUACAUCCCUUCUAUGUUCUAUAGCCCAGUGGUUACAGCACCCACUGGGUAUGUGGGAGACUUUGGUACAAAUCCCCACGCGCUGAUUUGAAACAGGGUUUCCCGUCUCUAAGGUGAGUACCCUAACCACCAGAGUACAGGGUAUUCUGGGGUAGGUCUCUCUAUCUCCCCUAUAGAAGCUGUUUCACUUUUAUAGAAUACUUAAAUAUUCACUGGAGCAGGGCCUGGAACCUUGGUUUUCCAGAUGGGCACCCUAACCACCAGGCUACAGAAUCAUUCUUUCUGGCCCGCUAUAUAGUAUGCAGUAAACCAUGUUGUCUGCCUUAGAAAGGGUAAUAUUUCUUAACAGAGAAUAUAGGUUACCCAUGUAGCAAAUGGUAACAGAAAUGCCUCAAAUUACAGUAUAUGAUAAUUUCACAUUUAUAUCUCAUCAGUAGUCACCAACCUUUCUGAUUUGUUGGGCCUGACUGAGCACAUAUUGUGUGACAGUAUUUUGUUUUGAUGGUGGACCAUGCAUCUGUGCUGCUGUCUGAACUGGACCAGAAGAUGAAACAGGCGCAGAUGCUUGUGAUGAAGCCUGAAUUCCUGCUUGUGACUGAGCCAGAAGACAAAUGAAAUUUACACAAUGGCAUUUAAUAUUUUAGCUAUUUACAGUAUAGUUAUGGCAUAAUCAAUAAUCCUCAGUUGUGGUAAUUUACAAUCAGUCAAGAAGUCACAUUGUUUGAAUACUGUUUCACUUUCAGAUUCCACUGAAGCUUUACAGCCCAACAUUUGAGUAUGUAAAAGUAAAAUAGAAGUAGAUGGGCAAACACACAGUUGGACUUGGGAGAAAAGUCCCAAUACACAUUUUGCAAACGACAGUAUUUGGAGUUAUAUGCUCUGAUCCAGUAUAGAUCAGAAAAUCUGUACAGAAAGUAUCCUAUUCAGUCUGGGAAAACUCCAUCAAAUCCUUAUUGACAGAGACUGCAAAUGAAACAGCAAGAGCACAUGAAUAUGUAGUCAAAUAUUUGUACACAACUGAGAAACCCCCUUUCUAUACACCUGUUCCUUGAACCUCAAAUGUAUGGUAAUGUAAAUCCCUUAUCCCCGCUCCGCCCCCAAACAAAAAAAAACCCCAACAUCCCCAAAACAUUAACAACUUUUCUAUGCCAAAGCUAAUUCUCCCCCAACACAAUCUGGGCAGACUGUUUCCUAAACAAAGUGUACCAUCACUGCAUGCUGGUAUGGUAGGUGAUACUUUUAAGUCAUGUUUUUUUCUUCUUAGCUUGGUAGCCUACUAAAACUAAGUGAUGUCACUACUACAAAGUCUGAAUGAAAGGAGAUCAAGGAGACUCACAGUUCAGUAGUACAGAAUGUCAUGGAGAUCAGUUGCACUAGAAUCACCUAACUGAUUUAUAUUGUGGAGAGUGGGGUUGCUGAAGCAAAGAAAAAGGAGCAAAGGGGGUUGGAUCUGCUGCUUUACCUGAAGGUUAGGGGAGCAAGGAGCAGAGUGGCCCAUGUGGAGAAGAGCUAUUUGCAUAUCCAAGAAGGCAGCAGAGGUUCCAAGCAAAGAGAUGAUAGGGCUUCCCAAGCUACACUGGCAGGGGAGAUCCCAGCAUGUGGAGGGUAUGCGGUUGUUGAGGCCAGAAUUAACUGAUUUUGGGAGAGCCUAAAGCUGAUUAAUUAGAAUGUAAGUGGAUGUGAGAAUUAAUUUUAUCUGAGGGGUGGGCAUCAGAACUGAUUUUAUUUAUGAGGGAAGAACUGAUGACUUGUGUGGUGGUGGGAAGUCAGAGUUGAUUUACUGGGGGCAGGAAGGAGUGCAUGCGGAAAAGGAUAGAGGACUGCAGGUAGUUGUCUCUUGGGCUAGUAGGCUUAAUCCCUGGAAGAAUAAUUGUCAUGGAAAUUUUUCAAAAAAUCUUUGCUAGAAUGCACAAAAAAGGACUCAUCUAGGAAAUGCCUGCGUGUGGGAAAAGAAGCUAACUGAAAAGAUUGGCUCUUGAUAGUUUCUACUCAAGUCUAAUGCAAUCGUGAAAUAAGUCAAUAUUUUUAUAAUUAAGCAUAUAAACAGCACUUUUCUACUCUAUAUAAAAAAUGAGUAGCAUGGCUGACAAUCAUAAUGGGUAAUGAUUAAAGUUAGAUAAAACAUUUCAUACCUGUAGCUGUAUAUUGCCCACUGGUAGCUGCACUGAAGUGGCUGAAUUUGGUCCUUGGAUAGACAGUGGGAGUAGCAACUGUGUUGAUCCAUGGGUAGUUAGUAAAGCUUGAGGCUGGGCAACAACUGCAGUUUGUGGCUGCCUCUGUGAACUCACAUAGAAUUGAGAGAUUACAUUCUGUGGUUCAGCUUUGGCCAAAGGUACCUCCUGCUUGAUAAUGACAGCCUUUUUAGCAACUAGGUUCUGGCCACCAGUAGACACUGGCUGUCCUAAAGAAUGGCUGGUUACAGAUACUGGUUGCCUUUGACUAGAGCAAUCAGUGAGAGUGUUUUCAUGUUUGAUAGCAGCAUUUAGGUGUUUCUGAUCCAACACAGUUAUGGAGUUAACAGGAGUCUGGGAUUGCUGCUGCUGACCCUGUUUUUCAACCUUCAGUUGCAUUUUCAGUACUUCCACAAGUUUCUGUUCUUGUUCCAGUUUCCUUUUGAGCUCUUCAAUCUGCUUCUCUUUUUCUUGAAGCUUGCGGUCCUUUUCUGCUGCAUCAAGCUCCAUGCUUGAGAUGCUUCCACUAGCAUGACUCAGACUGUCUUCAUUCACAGUCACUCUUAGAGGUGAAGUACUUAAGAACUGGGAUGGUGACAUCAUGGUCAUCAUUUCCGUGAAAGUAUCUGUCAUGUUUGUGUCAUCUGUGCUUAGACUUGAUUGUUCUGAAGAAGAUGGUGAAAUGGGCAAAGGGGAGCUAAUGCUUUCAGUAUGUGCUAAUUUGAAGCCAGUUCCAGCAGACGAUGUUUCUGAAGGAAAGCUCCCUACUGAUUUAUUUAAUGUUGUAACAGGGAAUGCCACAGUUACCUCCCCUGUGUUACUGAUGACACCAGUAGAAGUGGUUAUUGCAACCACUUUAUUAGUAUUGACACCAUUAUUAUUAAGAUCUUGGUAGGGUUUUAGACGCUCAAUAAGAUCUGUUUUCGUUCCAGACACUGGCAAUCCCCUUAAUUUCAAUUCCAUCUUCAGUUCAGCUACCUGAGGAUAAAAUAAGACUUAGUUUUCAAAACAAAACCAAACCAGCAUGUUGUUUUACCUGCACUGGAUUUUUGCUAAAAGCAUAUCAGCAUAUUCACUAUUCAUUAUGCACUCGUCUUUUGUUGUGCAAGAAAGAGAUUCUUAUAGCAACAUUUAUGUAAAAAACAUAUCUAUAUAAACAAGUUCCUUUUGGUGGAAAGCCAAAAAAUCAUUUUAAUACUAAUACAUUGCUAUACAAUAGACAAACAUUUCAGAUAGCACUGUAAGCACAGUGAAUAUUUCUUUAACGCAAACAAGACUCAUCUAGGAACUAUGAAAGUACAUCAUCUCUUCAUUUUGGACUGAAAACUUCUGAAACAAAUCUACAGUAUCUGACAAAUGUGCACAUUAAAGCAUUGAAUACACAAAA
Molecule: long non-coding RNA, 10568 nt
Organism: Chelonia mydas (Green sea turtle)
Lineage: Eukaryota; Metazoa; Chordata; Testudines; Cheloniidae
Exons: 2
Source: RefSeq, a predicted model, not a curated record